This 253-nucleotide ribosomal RNA is filed under the name uncultured bacterium. RNAcentral describes it as "partial 16S ribosomal RNA". It matches the Rfam family "Bacterial small subunit ribosomal RNA", at positions 524 to 776 of the family's 1533-position model. The record is from RNAcentral.
UACGUAGGUACCGAGCGUUAUCCGGAUUUAUUGGGCGUAAAGAGCUCGUAGGCGGCUUGUCACGUCGGGUGUGAAAGCCCGGGGCUUAACCCCGGGUCUGCAUUCGAUACGGGCAGGCUAGAGUGUGGUAGGGGAGAUCGGAAUUCCUGGUGUAGCGGUGAAAUGCGCAGAUAUCAGGAGGAACACCGGUGGCGAAGGCGGAUCUCUGGGCCAUUACUGACGCUGAGGAGCGAAAGCGUGGGGAGCGAACAGG